RNAcentral lists this ribosomal RNA (475 nucleotides) under uncultured bacterium. RNAcentral's name for it is "SSU rRNA". It matches the Rfam family "Bacterial small subunit ribosomal RNA", at positions 26 to 518 of the family's 1533-position model. The record is from RNAcentral.
AGGACGAACGCUGGCGGCGUGCUUAACACAUGCAAGUCGAGCGGAAAGGCCCUUCGGGGUACUCGAGCGGCGAACGGGUGAGUAACACGUGAGUAAUCUGCCCCUAGCUCUGGGAUAGCUCCGGGAAACCGGGAUUAAUACCAGAUACGACCACUUUAGACAUCUGUUGUGGUGGAAAGAAUUUUGGCUAGGGAUGAGCUCGCGGCCUAUCAGCUUGUUGGUGAGGUAACGGCUCACCAAGGCGACGACGGGUAGCCGGCCUGAGAGGGCGACCGGCCACGACUGGGACUGAGACACGGCCCAGACUCCUACGGGAGGCAGCAGUGGGGAAUAUUGCGCAAUGGGGCGAAAGCCUGACGCAGCGACGCCGCGUGGGGGAUGAAGGCCUUCGGGUUGUAACCCCUUUCAGCAGGGACGAAGCGAAAGUGACGGUACCUGCAGAAGAAGCGCCGGCUAACUACGUGCCAGCAGCCGC